Non-coding RNA from Moniliophthora roreri, 82 nucleotides. The record is from Rfam. Lineage: Eukaryota; Fungi; Basidiomycota; Agaricomycetes; Agaricales; Marasmiaceae.
ACACCGUUGGUGAAGUGGUUAUCAUGCUUGCCUUCCAUUACUCAGUAAGCAAGCGGCUCGGGUUCGAUUCCCGAACGGUGUA